RNAcentral lists this ribosomal RNA (297 nucleotides) under uncultured bacterium. Its description in RNAcentral is "partial 16S ribosomal RNA". It matches the Rfam family "Bacterial small subunit ribosomal RNA", at positions 789 to 1084 of the family's 1533-position model. The record is from RNAcentral.
GGUAGUCCACGCUGUAAACGAUGCUCACUAGAUGUGGGGGGUAUCGACCCCCUCCGCGUCGAAGCUAACGCGAUAAGUGAGCCGCCUGGGGACUACGGCCGCAAGGCUAAAACUCAAAGGAAUUGACGGGGGCCCGCACAAGCAGCGGAGCGUGUGGUUUAACUCGAUGCGACGCGAAGAACCUUACCUGGGCUUGAACGUGCCCUGACAGCCGGUGAAAGCCGGUCUCCCUUCGGGGGCAGGGUGCGAGGUGAUGCACGGCUGUCGUCAGCUCGUGCCGUGAGGUGUUGGGUUAAG